AAUUGUAAUUACGCUAGAUUUUGACCCGCGGUAUACUGCGGGACUAAGUUUUUAAUAAAAUUUGUUAUAUAAUUGUAUAUGUAGAUAUUUGUUUUAUUAUUAUUGUUUGCUUUGUUUAGUGUUUAAAAUAAUGUAUAUAUAGAUUUUAAUUGUUAUAUCUAUGAUUUCAUUUGUAGUAUAUCGUUUCGUAUUAUUAUCGAUCAAAACCCGUUAUACUAUCUAAUCCUGCACAGUGAAAUUAAACAUAUCUAAUAGAUUUCACUUGUGCUAUACCGUCUCGUAAUACUAUCGACCAAACCCGUCUUACCACUAACCAUGUUCAGUAAAAUUAGACAUUAUUUUGUUAUUUUUGUUUUAAUAAUACUUUAAUUUAAAAAAUAUUUAAUUCAAAUCAAUUUAAAAGUUUUCUUUCAAAUAUUUAUUU
RNAcentral lists this small RNA (424 nucleotides) under Arabidopsis thaliana (thale cress). RNAcentral describes it as "ATSL050830". The record is from RNAcentral. Lineage: Eukaryota; Viridiplantae; Streptophyta; Magnoliopsida; Brassicales; Brassicaceae.